ACCCCAGCUCAGGCAAGGGUACCCGCCGAGUUUAA
This 35-nucleotide ribosomal RNA is filed under the name Gnetum latifolium. RNAcentral describes it as "partial 26S ribosomal RNA". The record is from RNAcentral. Lineage: Eukaryota; Viridiplantae; Streptophyta; Gnetopsida; Gnetales; Gnetaceae.